This 369-nucleotide ribosomal RNA is filed under the name uncultured bacterium. RNAcentral's name for it is "bacterial SSU rRNA". It matches the Rfam family "Bacterial small subunit ribosomal RNA", at positions 29 to 402 of the family's 1533-position model. The record is from RNAcentral.
AAUGAACGCUGGCGGCAUGCCUUACACAUGCAAGUCGAACGGCAGCGGACCUUCGGGUGCCGGCGAGUGGCGAACGGGUGAGUAAUAUAUCGGAACGUACCUUUCAGUGGGGGAUAACGUAGCGAAAGUUACGCUAAUACCGCAUAUUCUGUGAGCAGGAAAGCAGGGGAUCGCAAGACCUUGCGCUGAUUGAGCGGCCGAUAUCAGAUUAGCUAGUUGGUGAGGUAAAGGCUCACCAAGGCGACGAUCUGUAGCGGGUCUGAGAGGAUGAUCCGCCACACUGGAACUGAGACACGGUCCAGACUCCUACGGGAGGCAGCAGUGGGGAAUUUUGGACAAUGGGCGCAAGCCUGAUCCAGCCAUGCGCGU